This 315-nucleotide ribosomal RNA is filed under the name Triticum aestivum (bread wheat). RNAcentral's name for it is "partial small subunit ribosomal RNA". The record is from RNAcentral. Lineage: Eukaryota; Viridiplantae; Streptophyta; Magnoliopsida; Poales; Poaceae.
AUGGAGUUGCCUCCCGCUUAUUUAGAUUAUGACGCUAUGGUCAGACAUCGUUUUCGUUUGAGGAAUGAACAAUUCCUCCAGUAUCGACUAAUCUUUGACAGACGUUGCGAUGUCCAUGUUACUCUCCCUGCUCCUUCCCUUUUUGAUUACCAGGCAAAACGAAGAUAUGUUGUUACCAGGGAGGAGGCAACCGAACACGAGGGGAGAGUGGAGGCAGCUCGUCAAAAUGCCGCAGCCCAGGAUGCAUUGGCUGCUGCAUCUCAGUACGACCCCAGUUAUAACUUUGGAUAUCAGCCAGGCUAUCCUUGGCAUUAG